Molecule: ribosomal RNA, 449 nt
Filed under: uncultured bacterium
Lineage: Bacteria
Description: partial 16S ribosomal RNA
Rfam family: Bacterial small subunit ribosomal RNA
Source: RNAcentral
AACGAACGCUGGCGGCAGGCCUAACACAUGCAAGUCGAACGCCCUAGCAAUAGGGAGUGGCGCACGGGUGAGUAACGCGUGGGAACGUGCCUUUCAGUCUGGAAUCACUGCGGGACACUGCAGCUAAUACCGGAUAUUCUCUACGGAGGAAAGAUUUAUCGCUGAAAGAUCGGCCCGCGUUAGAUUAGGUAGUUGGUGGGGUAAUGGCCUACCAAGCCGACGAUCUAUAGCUGGUCUGAGAGGAUGAUCAGCCACACUGGAACUGAGACACGGUCCAGGCUCCUACGGGAGGCAGCAGUGGGGAAUAUUGGACAAUGGGCGCAAGCCUGAUCCAGCCAUGCCGCGUGAGUGACGAAGGCCUUAGGGUUGUAAAGCUCUUUUGUCAGGGAAGAUAAUGACGGUACCUGAAGAAUAAGACACGGCUAACUUCGUACCAGCCGCCGCAGUAA